GGUAAAUGAACACGUAAAGCAAGGGUGUUUACGAAUGGGAUUCUGCCUAUGAGCAGUGUCGACCUACCUGAGAUGGCUCUCGUGGUUGGUAAUAAUGAACAUUUCUUAUCCUGGCCAUGGAUGGAAAACAGGAGUCAGUUGUAUUGAUUGUAUGUUGGCCCUUCAUCAGCGCAUUUGAGGUCAGGUAAAUUGGAUCCGUUAGCCACAAGCUUUAGGAUCACCUGGAAGAUGGACAUCUUAGCAUGCUUUUCGGAGAUUAAUUUGAUUGGGUUACUUAAGGCCAACUUAAAGUUGGCCACUGUGGAUGGAGUGCCUGGAUUUUGGUCUUGGACUGCAUAAGGAAGAGUACAGCUAUUUGGACACCAACACUGAAAGAUCUCUGCUCCUUGAUUAUGAAUGCAAUAUUACCAACUGCCUCCAACUCCUGUUGUAUGUGUUUUAACCUCAAACCAAAAUAAGCCCUUUCUCCUUUAAUUUGCUUUUGUCAGAUUGUUUUACCACACCAAUAGGAAAAGACUUAGAAAAUG
This is a long non-coding RNA of Psammomys obesus (fat sand rat), 527 nucleotides long. RefSeq lists it as uncharacterized. NCBI's taxonomy places the organism in Eukaryota, Metazoa, Chordata, Mammalia, Rodentia, Muridae. The record is from RefSeq and is a predicted model, not a curated record. The transcript has 3 exons.